CGAACGGGUGAGUAAUGCGUGACCAACCUGCCCCAUGCUCCAGAAUAGCUCUUGGAAACGGGUGGUAAUGCUGGAUGCUCCAACUUGACGCAUGUCUUGUUGGUAAAGUGUUUAGUGGCAUGGGAUGGGGUCGCGUCCUAUCAGCUUGUAGGCGGGGUAAUGGCCCACCUAGGCUUCGACGGGUAGCCGGCCUGAGAGGGCGGACGGCCACAUUGGGACUGAGAUACGGCCCAGACUCCUACGGGAGGCAGCAGUA
RNAcentral lists this ribosomal RNA (256 nucleotides) under uncultured Gardnerella sp. RNAcentral describes it as "partial 16S ribosomal RNA". It matches the Rfam family "Bacterial small subunit ribosomal RNA", at positions 99 to 355 of the family's 1533-position model. The record is from RNAcentral. Lineage: Bacteria; Bacillati; Actinomycetota; Actinomycetes; Bifidobacteriales; Bifidobacteriaceae.